CAGCAGCCGCGGUAAGACAGAGGAUGCAAGCGUUAUCCGGAAUGAUUGGGCGUAAAGCGUCCGUAGGUGGCUUUUCAAGUCCGCCGUCAAAUCCCAGGGCUCAACCCUGGAACUGCCUUUAAUACUGGGUAUCUAGAGUAUGGUAGAGGUGAGUGGAAUUCCGAGUGUAGAGGUGAAAUUCGUAGAUAUUCGCAAGAACACCAGUGGCGAAGGCGGCUCACUGGCCCGGAACUGACGCUGAGGUGCGAAAGCGUGGGGAGCAAACAGGAUUAGAGACCCCUGUAGUCCCUGUCUCUUAUAA
This 301-nucleotide ribosomal RNA is filed under the name uncultured bacterium. Its description in RNAcentral is "partial 16S ribosomal RNA". It matches the Rfam family "Bacterial small subunit ribosomal RNA", at positions 509 to 809 of the family's 1533-position model. The record is from RNAcentral.